This 253-nucleotide ribosomal RNA is filed under the name uncultured bacterium. RNAcentral's name for it is "partial 16S ribosomal RNA". It matches the Rfam family "Bacterial small subunit ribosomal RNA", at positions 524 to 776 of the family's 1533-position model. The record is from RNAcentral.
UACAGAGGGGGCAAGCGUUGUUCGGAAUUACUGGGCGUAAAGAGCGCGCAGGCGGUCGUUCAAGUCGAGUGUGAAAGCCCCCGGCUCAACUGGGGAGGGUCACUCGAUACUGAUCGACUCGAAGGCAGGAGAGGGAAGUGGAAUUCCCGGUGUAGUGGUGAAAUGCGUAGAUAUCGGGAGGAACACCAGUGGCGAAGGCGACUUCCUGGCCUGUUCUUGACGCUGAGGCGCGAAAGCUAGGGGAGCAAACGGG